UUGAAAUGGAAAAUGAUCCAAGACUCACAACAUAUUUGGAGGAUGCCCAGAAAAGGAAAGAACAGGAACAAGCCGACUAUGUGCAAAAAAUAACUUCAUUUAGAGAAGAAGCUCAACAAACACUGGCCAAAAGAAAGGUUGAGAGAUUAAAG
Long non-coding RNA from Pocillopora damicornis (cauliflower coral), 152 nucleotides. The record is from RefSeq and is a predicted model, not a curated record. Lineage: Eukaryota; Metazoa; Cnidaria; Anthozoa; Scleractinia; Pocilloporidae.